Molecule: long non-coding RNA, 818 nt
Filed under: Rhinopithecus bieti (black snub-nosed monkey)
Lineage: Eukaryota; Metazoa; Chordata; Mammalia; Primates; Cercopithecidae
Description: lncRNA (ENSRBIG00000045341.1)
Source: RNAcentral
UAACCAGUGUCUAGGAUGGGUCUCUCUCUUAUGCAAAAAGGAGUAAAGCCCCACCCUUGCCUUUUGGGAGGAGGUCUUAGGUUGCAGCUUGUGGGUGAGGGGCAUUGAAGAGGAAAGAUAUGUUGCUGGCAGAGGGAAGGAAGACACAGAACGGCUUGUAAUCGUGGAGGACAUGAUCAGAGCUGGAGUUUUGAAUGGGAAACUGCUGACCACGUGCGAGGCGGCUAACAGAUGGAAAAGAACAGAGGCCAUGCGUCCAGUGUGGAGGAGAUGAGGGGGCCUGAGCCAAGGCAGUGGCAGUGAGGAAGGCAGACUGGGGAACGGACUUUUAAAAAUGGAUUUGAAAAUAUCCAUUGAGCACUUCCCCCCACCUCUGACCACUCCAUAUCCACUCCGAUCCCUCCCUCCAAAGCUUCACUCUGCAGCCAAGUGAUCAUUUCAAAGCAGAUCUCAUCACAUCUCCCCUGCUUACCAGCUCUCUGAAGGCUUCUGAAUUCCUUUGAGAUAAAAGUCCACAUUCCUUAACACGGUCUGAAGGCCCCACGGGGUCUGGUCAUCGGCCUGUCCCAUGCUGUUCCUUGCUCUUGCUGCUCCAGCCCAUGUGUUCCCCUAGCACAGGGCCUUUGCACAUGCUGUUCCCUCUCCUGGGAGGCUUUUCCUUCUCCUUCUCCUCCUCCUCCUCUGGUUAACACUCACUCAUUGAGAUCUCAAUUCAAGUAGAUGUCCUGACCUCCCUGAUUAGCUCAAAUUCCCCUAGGGCAGGCAAGCACCCUGUAGCUCUCUUGAUGUCAUCUGUCAUCCCAGUUGUUGUUGUUGUU